RNAcentral lists this RNase P RNA (165 nucleotides) under Mesorhizobium sp. Its description in RNAcentral is "partial RNase P RNA component class A". It matches the Rfam family "Bacterial RNase P class A", at positions 1 to 162 of the family's 367-position model. From Rfam's summary of the family: Ribonuclease P (RNase P) is a ubiquitous endoribonuclease, found in archaea, bacteria and eukarya as well as chloroplasts and mitochondria. The record is from RNAcentral. Lineage: Bacteria; Pseudomonadati; Pseudomonadota; Alphaproteobacteria; Hyphomicrobiales; Phyllobacteriaceae.
CCAGCUGGCCGGGCGGCCGCACCCGCGGGAGCCGAAAGGUUGCGGGUGAGGAAAGUCCGGGCUCCAUGGAGACACGGUGCCGGCUAACGGCCGGCGGGGGCGACCCCAGGGAAAGUGCCACAGAAAGCAAACCGCCGCGGCAUUGCCGCGGCAAGGGUGAAAGGG